This 520-nucleotide ribosomal RNA is filed under the name uncultured Paraglomus. RNAcentral describes it as "SSU rRNA". It matches the Rfam family "Eukaryotic small subunit ribosomal RNA", at positions 569 to 1091 of the family's 1831-position model. Lineage: Eukaryota; Fungi; Glomeromycota; Glomeromycetes; Paraglomerales; Paraglomeraceae. The record is from RNAcentral.
AGCAGCCGCGGUAAUUCCAGCUCCAAUAGCGUAUAUUAAAGUUGUUGCAGUUAAAAAGCUCGUAGUUGAAUUUCAGGCCUGGCUGGACGGUCCGCCCUUCGGGUGAGUACUGUCUGUGGUCGGGUCCUACCUUCUGGCGAAGCGUCAUGGCCUUAACCGGCUGUGGCGGGGAACCAGGACUUUUACUGUGAAAAAAUUAGAGUGUUCAAAACAGGCAAUCGCUUGGAUACAUUAGCAUGGAAUAAUGGAAUAGGACAAUGGUUCUAUUUGUUGGUUUCUAGGACCGUUGUAAUGAUUUAAUAGGGAUAGUUGGGGGCAUUAGUAUUCAAUUGUCAGAGGUGAAAUUCUUGGAUUUAUUGAAGACUAACUACUGCGAAAGCAUUUGCCAAGGAUGUUUUCAUUAAUCAAGACGAAAGUUAGGGGAUCGAAGACGAUCAGAUACCGUCGUAGUCUUAACCAUAAACUAUGCCGACUAGGGAUCGGAUGAUGUUAAUUUUUAAUGACUCAUUCGGCGCCUUAC